GACACUGUACAGGGAGUCAUAGGGUUGAGGGCUCUGAGCCUCACUGACAGGCUCUCUCCUCCAGUAAACCUGCUUCCCAUCCUGGGUUAUUUCCAGUUUUGGGUGAGCUGUCAUUGAGUCCAGAGCAGGAGAACUUUGAUCUGCAAAUACAAAGGUUCGUUACACAACUAAAGAGAUAGUGGGGGUUUUAGAUUGCUCAAUAUUUGUUUCCUCACUUACAAGACCACAUUCGUGGAAAGUGUUGGGACAGAGCCACUGAGAGGUCGUCUACCAGUCUCUCUACUGUUCUUAGUUUCUCUGGGUCACAAAGGUCCUUGUCUACUUCCUUGAUUGGUGCUAAAUCCAGAGGGUCACUACAAUGGAAACUGAAAACCAUUAGAGGGCAUAACUCAGACCAAAAGAUGCCAGGUUGGAUUCAAAAGAGAGGAAUGAUAUACUGACCAAAGAUUCUUUGCUGUGAUUUGCUGUUGACAAUAAAAAGGAAACGCAGAUCAUUUGUGUCCUGGAGGAGCGACUUACUGGAUGCUCUGAGACUAUCUAUCUCUUUAAUCUGGGCCUCCAUCAUGCCCCUCUGGGCUUCCAGCCACUCUGUCAUACAUGUCUCCUCGGCGUCUAUAACCUGCAUCAUCAGACGCUCAUCGCCAUCCAGCACGACACGGAUCCUGCUGUACUUGUCUGAGAUUCUCUCUCUGAAAUCUGCAGCAAACAUCUAGGAAAUAAAGAAUUUUAAAUAAAGUGAAGGGGGAAUUCUGUGCAUAAAACACCAAUGGUUUAACAGCACUCUUUCAUGUGGAUCGCACCACUGUUUGUGUGUACAGUGACUCCAAGUCCUUGAUGGCGAACUCUGCCUCACUUCUCCUCUUCAGCAGUUGGUUCAUAGUGGUCUCUAGCAUGCCCUAAAGAUAGAAAAAUAACAGGCCUAUAGAAAGGGGGUACCCAAACAAGAAAAUUAAGUAAUCAUCAUGUCAUUUGAAAGAAAAUAAAGCACACUUGCUAAUGACGAAUCAAUGCUAACUGAUAUUGAAUGGGCUGUUUACUUGACUUGUGUUGAUUCACUGGAGCUACAUCAGAAUUACUUCUUGUCAUUACUGAGUCCUCCUCAAACAGUUCUCCAAUAAACAAAAACGUUUUAUUGUUUUAUUUUUUACAACAAUUUUACGGUGCAGAGUGAUGUUGAAAAUCUUUGUAUUCAUCCUUCCCUGUUUCAUCUGCAAUGAAGGCGUUAUGUGUCCAUGAUCAAAUAGAUCCUGUUUUUUCUUAUUAUUUACUUUUUCAGAAGUCAGUUGAUUAAUUAACAUAAUCUUCAGACCCAAGGUUACUACUUUUCAAAGUCAACCUCUGUAAUUCAGCUGAAUACAAAGCACUGCAUCAACAAAACCACCAUUGUGCUUUUACUUUGAAGAAAAUUUGCUAAGGAGGGAGUGAUUCCAUUAAUGUUAAUUCAUGUGUUGAGAUCAGCACCUGUGACACCUGUGAAUACCUGUAUCAGUCCAAUAUGGUGAAAUGACAAAUAUAUCCAAUUGUCAAAAUGA
Molecule: long non-coding RNA, 1532 nt
Organism: Platichthys flesus (European flounder)
Lineage: Eukaryota; Metazoa; Chordata; Actinopteri; Pleuronectiformes; Pleuronectidae
Exons: 2
Source: RefSeq, a predicted model, not a curated record